Pelobates cultripes (western spadefoot toad) is the source of this 513-nucleotide non-coding RNA. Lineage: Eukaryota; Metazoa; Chordata; Amphibia; Anura; Pelobatidae. The record is from the annotation of a GenBank genome assembly.
CUACUAUGAAUUUUGUCCAACCCUGUAUAAUGACAAUGGCAGUUGUUCACUUAAUCACUUAUUAGAUUUUAAAAAAACAAAAAACCACACACACACACACACACAUAUUUCCUGUUACUUACCAUAUAGGCAGAACUAUAUAUAAUAACUCUUUAUUUUAUAACAACUAGAGCUGCUAUAUUUCACAAACCUCUCCUGGAUAUUUGGGACCUGCAGUGAUAUCUGAGCGAACAGAGCAUCUGAAAACACCAGGCAUGGCCAGGGAAAUUCAGGCUUUUACCAGUGUCUGCUGAAGGUACAGAUUAACAACAAAACCUGAUAAUUGAGAGCUGAAUAUGUUUUAUAUAUUUUUAUGCAUUAUAUCAUUACAGCGUGAAGAAAAUAUGAAGGGGUCAGUUUCUGCUGGAAUGUUCCUUUAACUAAUGUAUAUAUGCAAUAAUGGCUGAUUACACAGAAAGCACAAAUAAACCUUUGCUCCCUACAUGGCAUUCUUAAAACUUGCAUGUCAUCCUC